This 125-nucleotide small RNA is filed under the name Marmota monax (woodchuck). The record is from RNAcentral. Lineage: Eukaryota; Metazoa; Chordata; Mammalia; Rodentia; Sciuridae.
GCCGGGCGCGGUGGCACACGCCUGUCAUCCCAGAGGCUUGGGAGGCUGAGGCAGGCGGAUCGCCAGUUCCAAGACAGCCUCAGCAAAAGUGAGGCCCUGAGCAGCUCAGUGAGACCCCGUUUCUA